Non-coding RNA from Synechococcus sp. PCC 7335, 395 nucleotides. It matches the Rfam family "transfer-messenger RNA". Rfam says of the family: Bacterial tmRNA, also known as 10Sa RNA or SsrA, is named for its dual tRNA and mRNA-like properties. Its role is to liberate the mRNA from a stalled ribosome. To accomplish this part of the tmRNA is used as a reading frame that ends in a translation stop signal. Lineage: Bacteria; Bacillati; Cyanobacteriota; Cyanophyceae; Synechococcales; Synechococcaceae. The record is from Rfam.
GGGGCUGAAACGGUUUCGACGUUUUAACGAAAGUCGUGUUGUGAUACAGGUCAAGAGUGAGUCUACUCUUGUAAAUAAAGGCUCAAACUUAAAGAUACAUGCAAACAACAUCGUACCUUUUGCUCGUAAGCGCGCUCUUGUAGCUGCUGCCUAAUAACCUCUUAUAGGUUCGAGCGUCUGAGCUGUGACUCCGUUAAGCAGUAAGGACUAAACCCCCAACGGGUGCUCUGGCAAACUUUCUUCGAUGGGUGCGCCAGCUAAGACUUUCAUCGAAGCAUCCUGUUUCCGGGACAAUGGAAAACUCCCGCCCUGAGGGUUAGAGGGGCUAUACCUGUGAGUGAGCGACACGUGAUUACUUAGAGCGGACACGGGUUCGACUCCCGUCAGCUCCAUCC